CCCUACGGGGGCCAGCAGUGGGGAAUAUUGCCCAAUGGGCGAAAGCCUGAUGCAGCAACGCCGCGUGAACGAAGAAGGCUCUUGGGUCGUAAAGUUCUGUUCUGAGGGAAGAAGAAAGUGACGGUACCUUAGGAGGAAGCCCCGGCUAACUACGUGCCAGCAGCCGCGGUAAUACGUAGGGGGCAAGCGUUAUCCGGAAUUAUUGGGCGUAAAGAGUACGUAGGCGGUUCUUU
This 233-nucleotide ribosomal RNA is filed under the name uncultured bacterium. RNAcentral describes it as "partial 16S ribosomal RNA". It matches the Rfam family "Bacterial small subunit ribosomal RNA", at positions 337 to 584 of the family's 1533-position model. The record is from RNAcentral.